RNAcentral lists this ribosomal RNA (253 nucleotides) under uncultured bacterium. Its description in RNAcentral is "partial 16S ribosomal RNA". It matches the Rfam family "Bacterial small subunit ribosomal RNA", at positions 524 to 776 of the family's 1533-position model. The record is from RNAcentral.
UACGUAGGGGGCAAGCGUUGUCCGGAUUUAUUGGGCGUAAAGAGCGUGUAGGCGGCCUGACAGGUCUGCUGUGAAAACUCGAGGCUCAACCUCGAGAUGUCGGCGGAAACCGUCUGGCUAGAGUCCGGAAGAGGAGAGUGGAAUUCCUGGUGUAGCGGUGAAAUGCGCAGAUAUCAGGAGGAACACCUGUGGUGUAGACAGCUUACUGGACCAUAACUGACGCUGAGGCACGAAAGCGUGGGUAGCAAACAGG